RNAcentral lists this unclassified non-coding RNA (320 nucleotides) under plant metagenome. RNAcentral's name for it is "partial contains 5.8S ribosomal RNA, internal transcribed spacer 2, and large subunit ribosomal RNA". The stretch from base 1 to 105 matches the Rfam family "5.8S ribosomal RNA", at positions 50 to 154 of the family's 154-position model. The record is from RNAcentral.
GAAAUGCGAUAAGUAAUGUGAAUUGCAGAAUUCAGUGAAUCAUCGAAUCUUUGAACGCACAUUGCGCCCGCCAGUAUUCUGGCGGGCAUGCCUGUUCGAGCGUCAUUACAACCCUCAGGCCCCCGGGCCUGGGGUUGGGGAUCGGCGGAAGCCCCCUGCGGGCACAACGCCGUCCCCCAAAUACAGUGGCGGUCCCGCCGCAGCUUCCAUUGCGUAGUAGCUAACACCUCGCAACUGGAGAGCGGCGCGGCCACGCCGUAAAACACCCAACUUCUGAAUGUUGACCUCGAAUCAGGUAGGAAUACCCGCUGAACUUAAGC